This is a long non-coding RNA of Phyllostomus hastatus (greater spear-nosed bat), 698 nucleotides long. RefSeq lists it as uncharacterized. Lineage: Eukaryota; Metazoa; Chordata; Mammalia; Chiroptera; Phyllostomidae. The transcript is spliced from 4 exons. The record is from RefSeq and is a predicted model, not a curated record.
UUGACCCAGAGUAAAUGUUCCUGCUCUUCUGGAGAGAGGGGGUUCCUGGCUUUGGGAGGCACCGCUUUUACGGAAGGAGGUUUUUAGAGAAGAGAGAGACACAGGAAGACGGCGGCCUCGGAGGAAGGUCCGUGGUUGAACUGCCGCGGGUCUCACAGCUCCCAGGGCUUCUGCAGCGGAGCGGAAAGCCCGGCGGGCACAUCAGUGCACGUGCACGUGCGAAGUCUGCCCCUGUCGGCCAGCCAUCGUGGUUGAUUAGCCACCCGGAAAUGUCUGAAACUAUUUACGUUGGAAGGAGACUCAUGCAGCCACUGUGCCGUGUGGAAAACGGACUGGAAGGAGAGCCAGAGUGGAUGCUGGAGACCUGAGAGGCUGGGCCAGCUGAGGGAGGUGUUAAAGAGGAGUUGAAGACAGACUAGCCCUGACCCUUUCCUCUUGAUGUAAGCAAAAGAAUUGGGACUAAGAACAGAAGACCUUUCUGCCUGUGAGGUUCAGCAUUAUUUAAGUCCGUAUCCAUGAAACCAACCACAAUACUUCAUAGAGCAUCUCAAACCAGGCCCCUGCUUUCAUAAGCGGUUCUAAGGACCACAGCGUGGGAAGAGGCUUUAACGGUCCCUCGUCCCAUCUGGUGCUCGGCUCCCCACUGAAUCAGCCUUCUAUGGUGCGAGUAACAGAAGCCAACUCUGGGCAAGUUAAAC